This 71-nucleotide transfer RNA is filed under the name Ovis aries (sheep). It matches the Rfam family "tRNA". Rfam says of the family: Transfer RNA (tRNA) molecules are approximately 80 nucleotides in length. Their secondary structure includes four short double-helical elements and three loops (D, anti-codon, and T loops). Further hydrogen bonds mediate the characteristic L-shaped molecular structure. tRNAs have two regions of fundamental functional importance: the anti-codon, which is responsible for specific mRNA codon recognition, and the 3' end, to which the tRNAs corresponding amino acid is attached (by aminoacyl-tRNA synthetases). tRNAs cope with the degeneracy of the genetic code in two manners: having more than one tRNA (with a specific anti-codon) for a particular amino acid; and 'wobble' base-pairing, i.e. permitting non-standard base-pairing at the 3rd anti-codon position. Lineage: Eukaryota; Metazoa; Chordata; Mammalia; Artiodactyla; Bovidae. The record is from Rfam by way of RNAcentral.
UCCCUGGUGGCUGAGUGAUAAAGACUCUGCCUGCAAUACAGAAGACCUGGGUUCAAUCCCUGGAUUGGGAA